This is a long non-coding RNA of Dreissena polymorpha, 1452 nucleotides long. RefSeq lists it as uncharacterized. The record is from RefSeq and is a predicted model, not a curated record. Lineage: Eukaryota; Metazoa; Mollusca; Bivalvia; Myida; Dreissenidae. The transcript has 2 exons.
UUUGCCUAUAUACUAUGAGGCCAAGUAAAAUAUGCGUGCGUCUCAAAAUAAAAAAAUGCUGAAAUAACUCGUACUUACAGCGAUUUUUCCCCCAUCUUUAUACAGUAUCGGACAACGGCACUUUCCCAAUAAGGAAAAAACUACAAAUUUCCCAAUUGCUGUAAAAAAAUCCCAAUUGAAGGUUUCUAAAAAAAAUUACAUUUUUUUCAAUAAAAAAAUACAACAUUAGUUAGUUACCCUAUGCAGCUCUAUGGCUUGAACCUUAGUUAAUAUAUUAUUGACAACUUAACACCAUUUAGUUAUCAAUUUUUAUGUAUUUGGGAACAAAAAAUCAAAUACACCAAUUUCCCAAUAUGAAGACUUCACGACUCAAAUUUUCCCAAUUGGGCUGGUAACGGUACUUUUCCCCAUUAAGCAAAAAAAUUGCUGACUUACAUUGUCAUCUUUAAGUCUUUACUUUAACAUUUGAGAGAUUACCAAAAUUAUCAGCUUAUAACAUAUGCCACAUACCCCACUAUAGCUCAAUUGGUCAUUGUCGGCUCGGGUACUACUUACAUGUACCCCGGGUACUCUUAAGUAUACUUACAUGUACCCCGGGUACGGUAAAAAUACUCAAACGUACCCGGGAAUUUUAACACUAAAUCGGUUGCUGUCGGCUAUUUUUUUUUAAAUAAUUAUGUUCACAAUUAUUGCAAUGUUCUGUUAAAUGGACUCUUUAUUAUCGGAAUUCUUACUAAAAUUUCAUGUUGAUGCAGUUUUUUUUCAAAGAGAUGUUUGUUUAAGAUAUUCAAUUUCGUUUUACGGUAAUUGGUUGCGCAUCUUACAACAUCGGAUUUUGGCGGGAAUACAACUCGGGUACAGUCUAAUAUCGACCGGGUACGUUUAAGUAUAUUUACUGACCCGGGGUACAUGAAAGUAUACUUACCGGUACCCGGGGUACAUGAAAGUAGUACCCGAGCCGACAAUGACCAAUCGAGCCCCACUAUAUACAUUCAACAUAAAUAAACAACAUUACACUUUUACUGCCCCAAACAUCGGACAAUUUGGCGAGAGUGAAGACUGAUAUAACGUAUACAAGUUUACUUUAAAAGAUUGUAUUAUGCCCCCCUUCGAAGAAGAGGGGGUAUAUUGCUUUGCUCAUGUCGGUCGGUCUGUCGGUCGGUCUGUCCGUCCACCAGGUGGUUGUCAGACGAUAACUCGAGAACCCUUGGGCCUAGGAUCAUGAAACUUCAUAGGUACAUUGAUCAUGACUCGCAGAUGACCCCUAUUGAUUUUGAGGUCACUAGGUCAAAGGUCAAGGUCACGGUGACCCGAAAUAGUAAAAUGGUUUCCGGAUGAUAACUCAAGAACGCAUACGCCUAGGAUCAUGAAACUUCAUGGGUAGAUUGAUCAUGACUCGCAGAUGACCCCUAUUGAUUUUUAGGUCACUAGGUCAAAGGUCAAGGUCACGGU